RNAcentral lists this ribosomal RNA (253 nucleotides) under uncultured bacterium. RNAcentral describes it as "partial 16S ribosomal RNA". It matches the Rfam family "Bacterial small subunit ribosomal RNA", at positions 524 to 776 of the family's 1533-position model. The record is from RNAcentral.
UACGUAGGUGGCAAGCGUUGUUCGGAAUUAUUGGGCGUAAAGGGCGCGUAGGCGGCUUGUUAAGUCGGCUGUGAAAGCCCUCGGCUCAACCGAGGAAUUGCGCUCUAAACUGUCGCGCUCGAGGAACCUAGAGGUGAGCAGAACUGAUGGUGGAGCGGUGAAAUGCGUUGAUAUCAUCAGGAAUACCGGAGGCGAAGGCGGCUCACUGGGGGUUAUCUGACGCUGAGGAACGAAAGCCAGGGGAGCAAACGGG